RNAcentral lists this ribosomal RNA (373 nucleotides) under uncultured bacterium. RNAcentral describes it as "bacterial SSU rRNA". It matches the Rfam family "Bacterial small subunit ribosomal RNA", at positions 523 to 897 of the family's 1533-position model. The record is from RNAcentral.
CGACGUAGGGGGCAAGCGUUGUCCGGAAUUACUGGGCGUAAAGGGUGCGUAGGCGGCAGUAAAAGUCUAAUGUGAAAUCCCCGUGCUUAACAUGGGGUUUGCAAUGGAAGCUUUACAGCUAGAGUGCAGGAGAGGUAAGUGGAAUUCCUAGUGUAGCGGUGAAAUGCAUAGAUAUUAGGAGGAACACCAGUGGCGAAGGCGACUUACUGGACUGUAACAAACGCUGAAGCACGAAAGCGGGGGGAGCGAACAGGAUUAGAUACCCUGGUAGUCCACGCCGUAAACGAUGGAUACUAGGUGUAGGGUCUUAAAGGCUCUGUGCCGUAGUAAACGCAAUAAGUAUCCCGCCUGGGGAGUACGGCCGCAAGGCUGA